RNAcentral lists this long non-coding RNA (1231 nucleotides) under Numida meleagris (helmeted guineafowl). RNAcentral's name for it is "lncRNA (ENSNMEG00000000864.1)". Lineage: Eukaryota; Metazoa; Chordata; Aves; Galliformes; Numididae. The record is from RNAcentral.
UCUCUCCUCUCACCCUUUGUCGCAGCCCCGGGGUCUCCGCCGCCGCCCCCCCCCACCGCCGCCGCCAUAGUGGCAACCGCUGGGCAACGGCGCGGCACUUCCGCAUCACGCGGCACUUCCGCUUCCGGCUACCGAGAGGCACCGCGCAGAGUGUCGGCGUCAAGAACCAUAGAGAGAAGCGGGAGCAGGGAGACAGAGCGGCGACUCCCGGGGGCACGUGAUGUCCACCGAGAGCCCGCCGCCAAUCAGAGAGCGCUUCGCCGCCUCGCCACGCCCUCUCUGUCCCAACUGGCCAAUCAGAGAACGCCUCGCGUUCUUCCCGCCUCACCCCACGUCCAGCCAAUCCCCGCCCUCAUCACCUCAGCCUCGAACCCCGCCCUCACCCUUCCUCCAGCCAAUAACGGCCCUCAAUUAUCUAGUCCCCGCCCACUCUUCUCAUUCAGCCAAUCCCCGCCCUCAUCACCUCAGCCUCAAAACCCGCCUUCACCUCUCCUCCAGCCAAUCACAGCCCUCAAUUAUCCAAUCCCCGCUCGCGCUUCUCAACCAGCCAAUCACCGCCCUCAUCCCCUCAGCCAUCAAAAUCCCGCCCUCUCCCCUCAGCCAAUCCCCUCCCUCCUUCCCUCAGUCUCAAACCCCCGCCCUUAUUUCUCAUUCACCCAAUCACAGCGCUCAAACUCCCCGCCUUCUCCCCUUACCCAGCCAAUCACCACUCUCCCCACCUCAGGAUCCCAAACCCGCCUUCACCUCUCAGCCAAUCAGAGACCUCCUCCCCUCAGCCACAAGCCCCGCCCUCUUUCCUUCUCACCCAAUCACCACUCGCCGCGGCUCAGUCCCGCCCCCUCCCCUCCCGCCAGCCAAUCCCCGUCCUCCCCCCUCACGCUCCUCGGCGAAUCAGAUCGCGCCGUUCCCAGGCGGGCGCCGAGGGCUGAGCAGAAGCUCCAAGAUGGCGGCGCCCCCCGGUCCCUCCGCUCCGAGCCCCACUCCGGGCCCUUCCCCGGGCUCCGGCUGCGCUUUGGGCCCGUCCACCUCGUACCGCCCCUUCGACCCCACCUCGCUGGGGCUGGACCCGAGCUGGAGGUUGACGAGUUACAGCGAACUGCGGGGAUGAGGCUGUAAAGUGCCCGAGGAAACGCUGCUGCGGCUGCUGGAGGGGUUGGGGGGACCUCGGAGCGGAGCGGCGGCGGCGGCGGGGGGGGACGGAGAAGGAGCGGAGCCCGGGGGGGCACCCACG